RNAcentral lists this ribosomal RNA (649 nucleotides) under Vibrio antiquarius. Its description in RNAcentral is "bacterial SSU rRNA". It matches the Rfam family "Bacterial small subunit ribosomal RNA", at positions 77 to 714 of the family's 1533-position model. Lineage: Bacteria; Pseudomonadati; Pseudomonadota; Gammaproteobacteria; Vibrionales; Vibrionaceae. The record is from RNAcentral.
CCUUCGGGGAACGAUAACGGCGUCGAGCGGCGGACGGGUGAGUAAUGCCUAGGAAAUUGCCCUGAUGUGGGGGAUAACCAUUGGAAACGAUGGCUAAUACCGCAUGAUGCCUACGGGCCAAAGAGGGGGACCUUCGGGCCUCUCGCGUCAGGAUAUGCCUAGGUGGGAUUAGCUAGUUGGUGAGGUAAGGGCUCACCAAGGCGACGAUCCCUAGCUGGUCUGAGAGGAUGAUCAGCCACACUGGAACUGAGACACGGUCCAGACUCCUACGGGAGGCAGCAGUGGGGAAUAUUGCACAAUGGGCGCAAGCCUGAUGCAGCCAUGCCGCGUGUAUGAAGAAGGCCUUCGGGUUGUAAAGUACUUUCAGUCGUGAGGAAGGCGGCGUCGUUAAUAGCGGCGUUGUUUGACGUUAGCGACAGAAGAAGCACCGGCUAACUCCGUGCCAGCAGCCGCGGUAAUACGGAGGGUGCGAGCGUUAAUCGGAAUUACUGGGCGUAAAGCGCAUGCAGGUGGUUUGUUAAGUCAGAUGUGAAAGCCCGGGGCUCAACCUCGGAAUAGCAUUUGAAACUGGCAGACUAGAGUACUGUAGAGGGGGGUAGAAUUUCAGGUGUAGCGGUGAAAUGCGUAGAGAUCUGAAGGAAUACCGGUG